Molecule: non-coding RNA, 1502 nt
Organism: Rattus norvegicus (Norway rat)
Lineage: Eukaryota; Metazoa; Chordata; Mammalia; Rodentia; Muridae
Source: RefSeq, a predicted model, not a curated record
AUGUCACCAGUGUUGUAGUGACAACCAGUGCCCUAGUUUCUCUCAGUCUGAGUCUGGCGGUUACACCCUAAGACAUGUUUUCCCGUCUUCGCAAGAGUUUUGGGAGGGGGAACAUCGAUUGUGGAGAGACUAGAGUGAAGGAGUCUGGCCUUUCGUCUCAAAGUAAUGAUGGACAAAGACAGCACUUCUGGGGAAUGUGGAGUUCACUUGUGUCCUUCUACCUACAGAGGCUGGGAGAGAAACACCAUCCCCUGGAACUGAGCUAAGCAAGAAGCAGGCCGAGAAGGAAAAUAAGAGGUGGAUUUAAGAGCUGCAGCUCAUUACAGAGGAGCGAAACGACCUGAGAGAUCGCCUGAGGUUUCUGACAGAGAGAUCCAUGAAGAACAGGCCACACUUCAGGCCAAAUCCAUAUUAUGAAGACCUGGAGAGAAUGGAGGAGGCGGUCAUGUCAAUUCUGCACAACUUAGAGAUGGAGAACACUGAGAUCCAUGAGAACAGCCAUAAGCUGAAAAAGGAGAUGACCUUCUCUAGGUCUCAGAAAGUGCAAGACUGCUGGAAUUGGACACGGACCAGGAAGAGGACUCCUGAAGAAUAAGUUGCUUCCUCAGGAGUCCCCUGCUGACAAACAUCCUGACUAUUAACAACAUGUUUUGGAUGAAUAUUCUUCCUCAUAGUUAAUUUGUCAUUGCUUAGAGACCUUAAAUUUAUAUAUCACUAAGCCAGCCUGACUGAUUGAGGUCUUACUCACUUUCUUCUUUAGAAAUCACCACUUGAGAGACAACUUGGGGGACCGCCUUUCAUUAUGCUAGAGGAGAAAGAGCAAUACAUCUGUGCUUCUAAAUGUUCGUUAAGAAUAUGAUGUUUAGAAAUAUUUUGUUAUGAUUUUCAUUGAAGUUUUCUAUUUGUUGUUUCAUAGUUAUAUGCUCUUGUUAUUAUUUUUCAUUUUUAAAUACUUUUAAAUAUUUAUAUUAAUUCGUUUUAAUCCUGUUUUGUUGUAAAUUGUAUUUCUUAUCAAUAAAAAUUGAUUUUAAUCUCUUGACUCUUAAGACCAUCAUUCUUAUUCAAGGGUUCUUUCUGCUCCUGUGGACUUAGAACUGACAGCUGGAGAUGGAUCUCUGCAUGUUCCAGGGAGCCUUGGCUAAAUAGUGAAUUCAAAGCCAGCAAGGGGUACCCAGUGUGAAGUGUCUUCUGUGUGGAUAAUGUGGCUGUCUCUCAGAUGCACACUUUACUAUGUAAUCACUGCCAUACUUUACCCAUACUGUCAUGUGUUCUGCUCACCUUAACAUAUAACAGUCUGCAGCUCACAUUCAUUGUUGACCCUGUGCCCCACAUAUUGAGUAAUAUACACUCAUUGCUGUACAGCUACAGAAAAAUUGACAACAUUCUCAAAGGAAUACAGAAGUCAUCCUAAUGGAGAACCAUGUGCUUCAGCUUUUCUUGCAAUACAGCAUCGAUAUUUACCCCAGAGAUUAUGACCUUCAAUGUCAUGCUGGGAAACAGGU